UUAAGCGACUAAGCGUACACGGUGGAUGCCCUGGCAGUCAGAGGCGAUGAAGGGCGUGCUAAUCUGCGAUAAGCGCCGGUAAGGUGAUAUGAACCGUUAUAACCGGCGAUACCCGAAUGGGGAAACCCAGUGUGACUCGUCACACUAUCAUUAACUGAAUCCAUAGGUUAAUGAGGCGAACCGGGGGAACUGAAACAUCUAAGUACCCCGAGGAAAAGAAAUCAACCGAGAUUCCCCCAGUAGCGGCGAGCGAACGGGGAGGAGCCCAGAGCCUGAAUCAGCAUGUGUGUUAGUGGAAGCGUCUGGAAAGGCGCGCGAUACAGGGUGACAGCCCCGUACACAAAAGCGCACGUGCUGUGAGCUCGAUGAGUAGGGCGGGACACGUGGUAUCCUGUCUGAAUAUGGGGGGGACCAUCCUCCAAGGCUAAAUACUCCUGACUGACCGAUAGUGAACCAGUACCGUGAGGGAAAGGCGAAAAGAACCCCGGCGAGGGGAGUGAAAAAGAACCUGAAACCGUGUACGUACAAGCAGUGGGAGCACAGGUUUACCUGUGUGACUGCGUACCUUUUGUAUAAUGGGUCAGCGACUUAUAUUCUGUAGCAAGGUUAACCGAAUAGGGGAGCCGGAGGGAAACCGAGUCUUAAUUGGGCGUUAAGUUGCAGGGUAUAGACCCGAAACCCGGUGAUCUAGCCAUGGGCAGGUUGAAGGUUGGGUAACACUAACUGGAGGACCGAACCGACUAAUGUUGAAAAAUUAGCGGAUGACCUGUGGCUGGGGGUGAAAGGCCAAUCAAACCGGGAGAUAGCUGGUUCUCCCCGAAAGCUAUUUAGGUAGCGCCUCGUGAAUUCAUCUCCGGGGGUAGAGCACUGUUUCGGCUAGGGGGCCAUCCCGGCUUACCAACCCGAUGCAAACUGCGAAUACCGGAGAAUGUUAUCACGGGAGACACACGGCGGGUGCUAACGUCCGUCGUGAAGAGGGAAACAACCCAGACCGCCAGCUAAGGUCCCAAAGUCAUGGUUAAGUGGGAAACGAUGUGGGAAGGCCCAGACAGCCAGGAUGUUGGCUUAGAAGCAGCCAUCAUUUAAAGAAAGCGUAAUAGCUCACUGGUCGAGUCGGCCUGCGCGGAAGAUGUAACGGGGCUAAACCAUGCACCGAAGCUGCGGCAGCGACACUGUGUGUUGUUGGGUAGGGGAGCGUUCUGUAAGCCUGCGAAGGUGGCCUGUGAGGGUUGCUGGAGGUAUCAGAAGUGCGAAUGCUGACAUAAGUAACGAUAAAGCGGGUGAAAAGCCCGCUCGCCGGAAGACCAAGGGUUCCUGUCCAACGUUAAUCGGGGCAGGGUGAGUCGACCCCUAAGGCGAGGCCGAAAGGCGUAGUCGAUGGGAAACGGGUUAAUAUUCCCGUACUUGGUGUUACUGCGAAGGGGGGACGGAGAAGGCUAUGUUGGCCGGGCGACGGUUGUCCCGGUUUAAGCGUGUAGGCUGGUUUUCCAGGCAAAUCCGGAAAAUCAAGGCUGAGGCGUGACGACGAGGCACUACGGUGCUGAAGCAACAAAUGCCCUGCUUCCAGGAAAAGCCUCUAAGCAUCAGGUAACAUCAAAUCGUACCCCAAACCGACACAGGUGGUCAGGUAGAGAAUACCAAGGCGCUUGAGAGAACUCGGGUGAAGGAACUAGGCAAAAUGGUGCCGUAACUUCGGGAGAAGGCACGCUGACACGUAGGUGAAGUGAUUUACUCAUGGAGCUGAAGUCAGUCGAAGAUACCAGCUGGCUGCAACUGUUUAUUAAAAACACAGCACUGUGCAAACACGAAAGUGGACGUAUACGGUGUGACGCCUGCCCGGUGCCGGAAGGUUAAUUGAUGGGGUCAGCGCAAGCGAAGCUCCUGAUCGAAGCCCCGGUAAACGGCGGCCGUAACUAUAACGGUCCUAAGGUAGCGAAAUUCCUUGUCGGGUAAGUUCCGACCUGCACGAAUGGCGUAAUGAUGGCCAGGCUGUCUCCACCCGAGACUCAGUGAAAUUGAACUCGCUGUGAAGAUGCAGUGUACCCGCGGCAAGACGGAAAGACCCCGUGAACCUUUACUAUAGCUUGACACUGAACAUUGAGCCUUGAUGUGUAGGAUAGGUGGGAGGCUUUGAAGUGUGGACGCCAGUCUGCAUGGAGCCAACCUUGAAAUACCACCCUUUAAUGUUUGAUGUUCUAACGUGGACCCGUAAUCCGGGUUGCGGACAGUGUCUGGUGGGUAGUUUGACUGGGGCGGUCUCCUCCUAAAGAGUAACGGAGGAGCACGAAGGUUGGCUAAUCCUGGUCGGACAUCAGGAGGUUAGUGCAAUGGCAUAAGCCAGCUUGACUGCGAGCGUGACGGCGCGAGCAGGUGCGAAAGCAGGUCAUAGUGAUCCGGUGGUUCUGAAUGGAAGGGCCAUCGCUCAACGGAUAAAAGGUACUCCGGGGAUAACAGGCUGAUACCGCCCAAGAGUUCAUAUCGACGGCGGUGUUUGGCACCUCGAUGUCGGCUCAUCACAUCCUGGGGCUGAAGUAGGUCCCAAGGGUAUGGCUGUUCGCCAUUUAAAGUGGUACGCGAGCUGGGUUUAGAACGUCGUGAGACAGUUCGGUCCCUAUCUGCCGUGGGCGCUGGAGAACUGAGGGGGGCUGCUCCUAGUACGAGAGGACCGGAGUGGACGCAUCACUGGUGUUCGGGUUGUCAUGCCAAUGGCACUGCCCGGUAGCUAAAUGCGGAAGAGAUAAGUGCUGAAAGCAUCUAAGCACGAAACUUGCCCCGAGAUGAGUUCUCCCUGAGACUUAAAGUCUCCUGAAGGAACGUUGAAGACGACGACGUUGAUAGGCCGGGUGUGUAAGCGCAGCGAUGCGUUGAGCUAACCGGUACUAAUGAACCGUGAGGCUUAACCUU
RNAcentral lists this ribosomal RNA (2904 nucleotides) under Salmonella enterica subsp. enterica. RNAcentral describes it as "23S ribosomal RNA". It matches the Rfam family "Bacterial large subunit ribosomal RNA". The record is from RNAcentral. Lineage: Bacteria; Pseudomonadati; Pseudomonadota; Gammaproteobacteria; Enterobacterales; Enterobacteriaceae.